GUGUAUCAGCCGUACACCGCGGUUCUGGGCGCGCCGUCCGCGCCCGCCUGACGGCGGCUUGCGACCUUUUGUUAGCC
RNAcentral lists this small RNA (77 nucleotides) under Xanthomonas oryzae. Its description in RNAcentral is "sX9 sRNA". It matches the Rfam family "Xanthomonas sRNA sX9". Lineage: Bacteria; Pseudomonadati; Pseudomonadota; Gammaproteobacteria; Lysobacterales; Lysobacteraceae. The record is from RNAcentral.